UACGUAGGUGGCAAGCGUUGUCCGGAUUUAUUGGGUUUAAAGGGUCCGUAGGCGGAUCUGUAAGUCAGUGGUGAAAUCUCACAGCUUAACUGUGAAACUGCCAUUGAUACUGCAGGUCUUGAGUGUUGUUGAAGUAGCUGGAAUAAGUAGUGUAGCGGUGAAAUGCAUAGAUAUUACUUAGAACACCAAUUGCGAAGGCAGGUUACUAAGCAACAACUGACGCUGGAUGGAACGAAAAGCGUGGGGAGCGAACAGG
RNAcentral lists this ribosomal RNA (256 nucleotides) under uncultured bacterium. Its description in RNAcentral is "partial 16S ribosomal RNA". It matches the Rfam family "Bacterial small subunit ribosomal RNA", at positions 524 to 776 of the family's 1533-position model. The record is from RNAcentral.